Oryza sativa Japonica Group (Japanese rice) is the source of this 206-nucleotide microRNA precursor. It matches the Rfam family "MIR812 microRNA precursor family". Lineage: Eukaryota; Viridiplantae; Streptophyta; Magnoliopsida; Poales; Poaceae. The record is from Rfam.
UUAAUGUAUGACGCUGUUGUCUUUUUGUCUAACGUUUGACCAUUCGUCUUAUUUAAAAAAUUUAUGUAAUUAUCAUUUAUUUUAUUGUGACUUGAUUCGUCAUCAAAUGUUCUUUAAGCAUGACACAAAUAUUUUCAUAUUUGCACAAAAAAUUUGAAUAAAACGAAUGGUCAAACGUUUGUUGAAAAGUCAACGGUGUCAUACAU